Molecule: unclassified non-coding RNA, 621 nt
Filed under: Hevea brasiliensis (rubber tree)
Lineage: Eukaryota; Viridiplantae; Streptophyta; Magnoliopsida; Malpighiales; Euphorbiaceae
Source: RNAcentral
AUUGACACUUUUUGGAGAUCUAAUCUGUCAGCUGUGGAUCGACCAAGUAGCAUCUGUGGAUGUAAAGAGGACGCUUCUGUUCACAUUUUUGGGGUUGGUUUUGGUGGGUCCAACUUUGCACUUUUGGUACCUCUAUCUGAGUAGAUUGGUCACAACUCCAGGGAUCGCCGGUACUCUCAUGCGUCUCGUACUAGAUCAGUUCCUUUUUGCUCCAAUUUUUGUUGGUGUUUUCUUAUCCUCUUUGGUAACACUUGAGGGAAGAUCAUCACAAGUUAUUCCAAAGCUUCAACAGGAGUGGUUCUCAUCUGUCCUUGCAAAUUGGCAACUCUGGAUACCUUUUCAAUUUUUCAACUUCCGGUUUGUGCCUCAGCAAUUUCAGGUCCUUGCUGCUAACUUCAUCGCUUUAGUGUGGAAUGUCAUAUUGUCAUAUAAAGCCCACAAAGAAGUUAUUGUAAAAUAGUAAUGCAGACUUCAGGUUCUUGCUCCGCUGCCUACUGAUGCCGAGAAUUUGGAAUAGGCAUGUGAUUUAAGCUGCGCAAGAUAUUACUUCUUUGUACGUUGGUAUUGAUCUAGGUUGAAAAAGUUCUUGGUGUGUACUGUUCCAGAGAAAUAGUAUAAAAU